This 254-nucleotide ribosomal RNA is filed under the name uncultured bacterium. RNAcentral describes it as "partial 16S ribosomal RNA". It matches the Rfam family "Bacterial small subunit ribosomal RNA", at positions 524 to 776 of the family's 1533-position model. The record is from RNAcentral.
UACGAAGGGGGCUAGCGUUGCUCGGAAUCACUGGGCGUAAAGGGUGCGCAGGCGGUUCUGCAAGUCAGGCGUGAAAUCCCCCGGGCUUAACCUGGGAAUGGCGCUUGAAACUACGGGACUGGAGUAUGGCAGAGGGAGGUGGAAUUCCACGUGUAGCGGUGAAAUGCGUAGAGAUGUGGAGGAACACCGAUGGCGAAGGCAGCCUCCUGGGCCAAUACUGACGCUCAUGCACGAAAGCGUGGGGAGCAAACAGG